UGAUGACUCUGGAUAACUUUACUGAUCGCAGUCGGCCUCGCGCUGGCGACGGAUCUUUCAAAUGUCUGCUCUAUCAAUUUUCGAUGGUAGGUGACCUGCCUACCAUGGUGAUAACGGGUAACGGGGAAUCAGGGUUCGAUUCCGGAGAGGGAGCCUGAGAAACGGCUACCACUUCCAAGGAAGGCAGCAGGCACGCAAAUUACCCAAUCCCGGCACGGGGAGGUAGUGACGAAAAAUACAGAUACGGGACUCAUUUGAGGCUCCGUAAUUUGAAUGAGUACAAUUUAAAUCCUUUAACGAGGAUCAACUGGAGGGCAAGUCUGGUGCCAGCAGCCGCGGUAAUUCCAGCUCCAGAAGCGUAUAUUAAAGUUGUUGCAGUUAAAAAGCUCGUAGUUGGAUCUGGGUCGUAUUGCUACGCGCCGUCCCUUGCAUCGUUGUCCUGGUUACGACUGGGGCACGUUCGUGAGUCGG
This 471-nucleotide ribosomal RNA is filed under the name Tanaisia fedtschenkoi. Its description in RNAcentral is "SSU rRNA". It matches the Rfam family "Eukaryotic small subunit ribosomal RNA", at positions 244 to 710 of the family's 1831-position model. The record is from RNAcentral. Lineage: Eukaryota; Metazoa; Platyhelminthes; Trematoda; Plagiorchiida; Eucotylidae.